GACGAACGCUGGCGGCGUGCUUAACACAUGCCAGUCGAACGGAAAGGCCCUGCUUUUGUGGGGUGCUCGAGUGGCGAACGGGUGAGUAACACGUGAGUAACCUGCCCUUGACUUUGGGAUAACUUCAGGAAACUGGGGCUAAUACCGGAUAGGAGCUCCUGCUGCAUGGUGGGGGUUGGAAAGUUUCGGCGGUUGGGGAUGGACUCGCGGCUUAUCAGCUUGUUGGUGGGGUAGUGGCUUACCAAGGCUUUGACGGGUAGCCGGCCUGAGAGGGUGACCGGCCAAAUUGGGACUGAGAUACGGCCCAGACUCCUAAGGGGGGCAGCAGGGGGGAAUAUUGCACAAUGGGCGGAAGCCUGAUGCAGCAACGCCGCGUGCGGGAUGACGGCCUUCGGGUUGUAAACCGCUUUCGCCUGUGACGAAGCGUGAGUGACGGUAAUGGGUAAAGAAGCACCGGCUAACUACGUG
This 468-nucleotide ribosomal RNA is filed under the name uncultured bacterium. RNAcentral's name for it is "partial 16S ribosomal RNA". It matches the Rfam family "Bacterial small subunit ribosomal RNA", at positions 28 to 507 of the family's 1533-position model. The record is from RNAcentral.